RNAcentral lists this long non-coding RNA (1484 nucleotides) under Sorghum bicolor (sorghum). Its description in RNAcentral is "long non-coding RNA (SBIC_LNC009854)". Lineage: Eukaryota; Viridiplantae; Streptophyta; Magnoliopsida; Poales; Poaceae. The record is from RNAcentral.
CUAGUGAGAGUGAGCCAAGAACAGGCAUGUUGUGCUGCACAAUGGCGAUAUAGGAGCUGGACGCCAGCAGGGGCCCACCUUUGUAACUCUACAGGCACCUAGUCGUUUCAAAACGUCAGUACAAAAAAUUGGGGGGGGGGGGUAGUAGAAAGCAUCAGUCUACUAGUGAUAGUGAGUGGGCCAAGAACAGGCAUGUUGUGCUGCACAAUGGCGAUAUAAGAGCUAGACGCUUGGACCAAGAGAGUUGGUGGAGGUAGAGCACACUAGAUGGACAUGGUCUAGUGUGUGGUCGCAUUGCCAUUAGUUGUCUUGUCCUUUGGUACAACUGGCAGUGUCAGUGCGACAUAAUUGAGUCCAGUCAUUUAUAUGUGCCUGGUGUUUCACAAACUAAAAAAAUCAUGAUGAUAUUUAGUCAGCAAUACCAUAACUAAACUAUUAACACGCUAGAAAAUGGAGGCCUCUUAGCCUCUUAGGGCAUCAAAGAAUAUUGCAAAAUGGUUAUGGGUGAUGUAUCAGAUCAUCACAGGACCCUCGCAAAUAAAACAUCACGGCGCAAUCCUAGGCACCUCGCAAAUACAGCUCCACAUACACUUUGUGACCACAAAAUUUAUCAUGGCCAUUGGAUCAGCCUUGUAGGCCCUAUCUCUCUCCAGCGUUGUAGAAUAUUCUGUAACAUUUGCCACAUGUGUGAAUAUAAUGGUAUUUUGGUCAUGCAAAUGUUCUUCUUCUCCUCUUACUCGACUACCCAGCAUGCAUCUGCAGCCACCUGAUCUCAUCUCAAUUCAAGAGCCACAGCUGCUACAAAUGCUAUCGCCCUGCUCCACCUCCAUCCUCCCAACUAGCAGAUAGCAACACCCUCAUCCUCCUCCGUCUUCCCCUGGCCAUAGACCAGCAAUGGAGGACAACCCAUAGAACACAUCUCAUCUGCAGCUAGAUCCAUGGAUGAUAAUUGAGUUGAAAGCUUGCAUACAACGACAAAAAGUUAGCAGAUGUGUUCCCGGCGCAUACACCGGCAGGUGCAUUGGGAAUAGUGGUCUUGCCUCUCCGAUCCACCAUGGCAGAGCUGCCAUAACUGGCAUCAAUAGUUGCCCACAUCCACGCCAACCAGUUUCCAACAUCUAGGGUUCAACAACGUAGAUCCGCGGAAGAUUCAAUCCUGAAAGGGAUGACACUUCACCAAGGGAAGAUCGCUGAGGAUACAUAGUUCUACCCACUUACAUAAUUGAUGAAAUCUGAACAACUAGCAUUACAGUCAGAUUUGAGGUUCAUUUGCUACCAGGAACCAAUGUUUUAGUUGACAAGAUGACAUAUUUUUAGAUAGAUUCUAGAAACUAUAUAUGCAAUCAUGGCUGGAGAAAAAAAAAACUAUGCAACCAACUUAAAUUUAAAGGAGUUGGUUAUUAUGCACCUAUCCAAGAACCGGCAUGUGCAUGCCUCCCAUUUUUUGGACAAUGAACAUUCUAAAAAUUAAUUUAAUUUGGGUC